GACACUUUUUUUCUCUCUUCUCAUACUAUUGAUACAUAUUAGCAAAUUUAAUAUACAUAAUACUUCUAUAACACUCUCACUGAGAUUGUUCUCACUGUCUAGUCCUCCCGCCGCCUGCCGUUCACCAGCUAGGGCCUUGCCGAAACUCGAAUGGGCCACGAGCUGCAGGAAGACACCGCUGCCGUCCCUCGAUGAAGGAACAGGCAGCCCUCCUCUAGGCGGGCGGACAGCUUGACCAGAUCUUUCGUACGCCGGCGCCAGCGACGCUCCUCGAGCAUCAACUCGGUGCUGGGACUGGGAGGCGGCCUUGCCUGUCACCUCUGCGCGGAAACGCAACGCUUGGUUUGUUGACGUAAUGCACCCGUCGCCGUGUUCUCAUUUUCUCACGCCGCUUGUCACACGUCUGGGCCCGAAGCUUACAAAUCUGUCGCCCGAAAACAUGUUAUCUUUGUCUGACUAGGAUAAUCUGGCUGUCCACAACUCCCUACCUUUCCUGUCAGAACGAACUCCCAGCCAUGCCCAUUACUUAAACACUUCUGUUUCUGUCGACUCGCGGGCAAGCAGGUGCGGAUAAGGGGAUAAGCGUACUCGAUUAGCCGCACUAGCCCCGGCCUUCAACUUUAACUAACCUAACCUGUCAUAGACUAUAGUUUGUCUCCUCAAGCAGAUAAGCUCAUGCCGCAUGCCAGGCCACGAAUGGAUACGGGGGGAUCGGCGACGGCGAGGCUGAUGGAUGGCAGAUUCGUAUCGCUCGGUGAUCUUGGUGCUUUUCCAUGGGAUUCGGCGGGCGUAUUCCGCAAUGCUUUUCGGCGGAAACGUUGGGAUUCUUUGCCGUAUGGUACUGGCAAAGCUGAGCCCAACAAACUGAAUGGCUAGCUACCAGCUGUCCAAGGCAUUUCAGAUAAGAGCUUCGUUCCUGCUGUGGUUCCUCAUGUUGGGGGGACAGCAUUUCGCUAUCGGGAGCUGCCAAGAUAAGGCGCAUGAAUGGACAGUGCGAGUCCAUCCUGGUGAAAAAAAAGGUGUGGCCAAAAGCGAAGAUUGGACCCAACUCCAACAAAUUUAUUUUCCCUUCUCCUCUUUCUCAUCUUAUAGGGGAAUCCCCCAUCACAAUUUUAGUUUAUUGGAAAAAUAUGCUCCAGCAGAUUGAUUUUUCCC
Molecule: long non-coding RNA, 1155 nt
Organism: Panicum virgatum (switchgrass)
Lineage: Eukaryota; Viridiplantae; Streptophyta; Magnoliopsida; Poales; Poaceae
Exons: 2
Source: RefSeq, a predicted model, not a curated record